CGUAGGUGGCAAGCGUUGUCCGGAUUUACUGGGCGUAAAGGAUGCGUAGGUGGAUAUUUAAGUGGGAUGUGAAAUACCCGGGCUCAACUCGGGUGCUGCAUUCCAAACUGGAUAUCUAGAGUGCAGGAGAGGUAAGUGGAAUUCCUAGUGUAGCGGUGAAAUGCGUAGAGAUUAGGAAGAGCACCAGUGGCGAAGGCGACUUACUGGACUGUAACUGACACUGAGGCAUGAAAGCGUGGGGAGCAAACAGGAUUAGAUACCCUGGUAGUCCACGCCGUAAACGAUGGGUACUAGGUGUGGGAGGUAUCGACCCCUUCCGUGCCGCCGUUAACACAAUAAGUACCCCGCCUGGGGAGUACGGUCGCAAGAUUA
Molecule: ribosomal RNA, 372 nt
Filed under: uncultured organism
Description: bacterial SSU rRNA
Rfam family: Bacterial small subunit ribosomal RNA
Source: RNAcentral